GCUCCUUCCCAAUGAUCUGAUUUCACCUU
Molecule: non-coding RNA, 29 nt
Filed under: Rattus norvegicus (Norway rat)
Lineage: Eukaryota; Metazoa; Chordata; Mammalia; Rodentia; Muridae
Source: RNAcentral